AUGAUCUUAGUGGAUAUCAACACUCCUGGAGUGCAGAUAAAGAGACCAUUGUUAGUCUUUGGGUUCGAUGACCCACUACAAGGACAUGCAGAGAUUACUUCUGAUAACGUGUGUUUUCCGGUCACAAAUAUCCUCCUCGGGGAAGGAUGUGGUUUCGAGAUUGCUCAAGGAAGACUAGGCCUUGGAAGACUACUUCAUUGCAUGAUACUAAGAGUAGUAGCGGAACAUGGCAUGGAUGUGAUGGUUGAGGGGGCCUUACGCAGGACCGCUUUUGGAAAGAAGAUCACACAUCAUGGUUCCUUUCAGUCGGACCUGGUAAAGACAAGGAUUUCUAUGAGAAAAAUGGCAAAAAUGGUGGACGGGUAG
Molecule: ribosomal RNA, 366 nt
Filed under: Triticum aestivum (bread wheat)
Lineage: Eukaryota; Viridiplantae; Streptophyta; Magnoliopsida; Poales; Poaceae
Description: partial small subunit ribosomal RNA
Source: RNAcentral